UUGAUCAUGGCUCAGAUUGAACGCUGGCGGCAGGCCUAACACAUGCAAGUCGAGCGGUAACAGAGAGUAGCUUGCUACUUUGCUGACGAGCGGCGGACGGGUGAGUAAUGCUUGGGAACAUGCCUUGAGGUGGGGGACAACAGUUGGAAACGACUGCUAAUACCGCAUAAUGUCUACGGACCAAAGGGGGCUUCGGCUCUCGCCUUUAGAUUGGCCCAAGUGGGAUUAGCUAGUUGGUGAGGUAAUGGCUCACCAAGGCGACGAUCCCUAGCUGGUUUGAGAGGAUGAUCAGCCACACUGGGACUGAGACACGGCCCAGACUCCUACGGGAGGCAGCAGUGGGGAAUAUUGCACAAUGGGCGCAAGCCUGAUGCAGCCAUGCCGCGUGUGUGAAGAAGGCCUUCGGGUUGUAAAGCACUUUCAGUCAGGAGGAAAGGUUAGUAGUUAAUACCUGCUAGCUGUGACGUUACUGACAGAAGAAGCACCGGCUAACUCCGUGCC
Molecule: ribosomal RNA, 501 nt
Filed under: Pseudoalteromonas sp. ANT6
Lineage: Bacteria; Pseudomonadati; Pseudomonadota; Gammaproteobacteria; Alteromonadales; Pseudoalteromonadaceae
Description: bacterial SSU rRNA
Rfam family: Bacterial small subunit ribosomal RNA
Source: RNAcentral